AGUGAACGCUGGCGGUAGGCCUAACACAUGCAAGUCGAACGGCAGCACAGUAAGAGCUUGCUCUUACGGGUGGCGAGUGGCGGACAGGUGAGGAAUACAUCGGAAUCUACUUUUUCGUGGGGGAUAACGUAGGGAAACUUACGCUAAUACCGCAUACGACCUACGGUUGAAAGCAUGGUAUCUUCGGACCUUGCGCGAUUGAAUGAGCCGAUGUCGGAUUAGCUAGUUGGCGGGGUAAAGGCCCACCAAGGCGACGAUCCGUAGCUGGUCUGAGAGGAUGAUCAGCCACACUGGAACUGAGACACGGUCCAGACUCCUACGGGAGGCAGCAGUGGGGAAUAUUGGACAAUGGGCGCAAGCCUGAUCCAGCCAUACCGCGUGGGUGAAGAAGGCCUUCGGGUUGUAAAGCCCUUUUGUUGGGAAAGAAAAGCAGCAGGUUAAUACCCCGCUGUUCUGACGGUACCCAAAGAAUAAGCACCGGCUAACUUCGUG
Molecule: ribosomal RNA, 492 nt
Filed under: uncultured bacterium
Lineage: Bacteria
Description: partial 16S ribosomal RNA
Rfam family: Bacterial small subunit ribosomal RNA
Source: RNAcentral